UACGAAGGGGGCUAGCGUUGUUCGGAUUUACUGGGCGUAAAGCGCACGUAGGCGGAUCGUUAAGUCGGGGGUGAAAUCCUGGAGCUCAACUCCAGAACUGCUUUCGAUACUGGCGAUCUAGAGUCCGGAAGAGGUGAGUGGAACUCCUAGUGUAGAGGUGGAAUUCGUAGAUAUUCGCAAGAACACCAGUGGCGAAGGCGGCUCACUGGCCCGAUACUGACGCUGAGGCUCGAAAGCGUGGGGAGCAAACAGG
This 253-nucleotide ribosomal RNA is filed under the name uncultured bacterium. RNAcentral's name for it is "partial 16S ribosomal RNA". It matches the Rfam family "Bacterial small subunit ribosomal RNA", at positions 524 to 776 of the family's 1533-position model. The record is from RNAcentral.